Molecule: unclassified non-coding RNA, 173 nt
Filed under: uncultured cyanobacterium
Lineage: Bacteria; Bacillati; Cyanobacteriota
Description: partial 16S-23S ribosomal RNA intergenic spacer
Source: RNAcentral
CGGUUCGAGUCCGCUUACCUCCACUGAAAACUAUCCUGCUAACUAAAAUCUCUGGAGAAAAUUUGUAGAUCUGGCUUAGAAUUGUCUAUUUGAAAAGAACCUAGCUUCUUAUCAUCUACUAAUAGUUGAUAAUAUGCUGGGCUCACAUGGAUUUAUUCCAUGAGAAUUCAGUA